UCGGGGAUCGUCUAAUGGCAGGACAGCGGCCUUUGACGUCGUUAAUCUAGGUUCGACUCCUAGUCCCCGAA
RNAcentral lists this transfer RNA (71 nucleotides) under Deltaproteobacteria bacterium GWA2_50_8. RNAcentral describes it as "tRNA-Gln". It matches the Rfam family "tRNA". From Rfam's summary of the family: Transfer RNA (tRNA) molecules are approximately 80 nucleotides in length. Their secondary structure includes four short double-helical elements and three loops (D, anti-codon, and T loops). RNAcentral also lists the same sequence under 3 other names. The record is from RNAcentral. Lineage: Bacteria; Deltaproteobacteria.